ACCUAUAGCAGAGCAGUACUGUCCUACUAUAGUGCAGCCGGUGCCAAGUGGCGGCAGCGCUGCCCCAAUCCACAAUAAUUGCUAGUGCUACUGGCCGGAUGUCUGUUGCAUCUCUGGUCAAAUCUGCAUGAUUUGGCUUUUAGUUUGGAAUUGCAUGUGAUGUGCGUGUGUUGGCGAUUAUGUAAAGUUCUUUGGGGGUGUGAUCGUUUGAACUGUCUACCAAUAAAAAAGCUCUAUUUACAUUCAUGAUUUGCGAGGAUGCACUCUCUUCCUUAUUUAUUUUUGUUUGGUAAUAAAUAUGUAGUGAUCUAAACUAUUCUUAUGGAGUAUAUUUGUUUAUGGAGGGAGUACUAGACUUUAAUGAUGGGAGACCGGGAGGGGCAUCGAGUGAAGAUCCACACUUCUGUCAUAAGUAACAGGAAAGAGAGAUCAUUUGUCUAGCGGGGCUAAUACGAUAAUUUAGCGAUCAAACUUGCAUAUGGAAAACUAGACCAAACGCAGAGUACGUUGACAUUUUACAAGAGAGAAACCACACCUCUAUUGUUAAAACACAUUUAUAAGCAUGCAUUCCACAUUACCCACUCUUGUUUUACGUAGCAUCUCACAAAGCCUCACUCUUUGCAUGCAACCAUAAAUGUCUUCCAGAACCAUGACUAUGCCUAAAACAAACUGUGGUUGGAUGGUUAGGAGGACAGUGAUAUUAAACUGUGGCUCAUAUUAUUUUUGGACUUAUUUUAGGAUUUUCGGCAAUGCACGUUUAGUGGGAUGAGACGGUCCCAUCGACUAUGAAGCGUUUGUAGUGACUUCGUCAAUCUGAAGAUGAUAUGUCGUAUGUAUUGUCUUCUAAAAAAAAGAACCACGAGUGUGCCUUUUUGACACAACAUUUCACAAAUUCACACUUCGGUUCAGGAACCACACCAACGCACUUUUCUUUCUCGGGGGGAAACCAACGCACUUUUUGACAUCACAUGUCACUGACUACACUUUUAGUUGUAGCUGUGAAUAUUAGACCUAUCAAAACAUUUUAUAUUUUGAAAUGGAGGUAGUAUUUGAUGGCAAAACAGUGUGCAUAGUGAAAUGCAUGAUACACUAAUUUAAUAAUAUUCGGUUGACUUUUCUUGCGCUAAUAAUAGUCAAAACAAAUUCGGCUAUCAAGUUACACGGUGGCUAUUUAGCAACUACAAGCACUAGUUGUUGUGUCGCUGCCUAUCCAGUAAUGGAGUUUCUAAAGACGGCGUAAAGUUGGUGAUAAAAUGAUUGGACAUACUUUUUUUAAUAGGCAUUUACACCACAAAGAUCAGAAAAGGAUUCGAAUAAAAACAAGUACAUGAGGAGUAAGUCCGAGACUUUUACAAGGACCCUAAACUUUAAUUUGGAAAUGCAAUGGGUUCAAACACAACUUUCACCCAGAUCGAGCCUCGCCGUCGUUGGAGAUGAAUCACUUGGGUCGACGAGACCUUCGUAGCUGUGACAACAUGCCGAGCAAAAGAUUACCACACCCUCCCAUACGACAUCUAGGGCGGGAGAAUGAGUCAGUAGCCCACCAAACACAAAGCAGUGGCACAGGGUGUGUUCAAGAAUGUGAUGUGGUCGAACUGGCCGAAAACAGCGAGCCGGCGGAGGGGAACAAGCAAUACUAGGGGAAGGACAUGGUGGUGGCGAUUGAGAGGCCCAUGGUGAUGGAGAUGUUCCGGUGGUACGAUGCGUUCGCCACUGAAAUGAAGGAGAUACGCUAGAGCUGGCAGUGACAUUCACUUCGCUGAUGAGGGCCAAGGCGGGGUGACUAACUAUAGUAGUGUCAAGUAAGGUGGUGGCAUUAUUAAGAUUAGGAUGCCGCAAUAAUUAGUACCAGCUAAUGUGUGUUGCCUGUGGGGGUCUAAUUUGCAUGGUUUAGUUGCAUUUGCAUGUGAUGUGCUGCCACUUAUGUGUGUGCGCGCGCGUGCGCAUGUGUUGACGUGCGGUUUGUUGUGUGAGGUUUGGGAUGUGGUUUGAACUAUGCAAUAAAAGGGUGGAUUCAUGAGUUGCCAGGAUGUACUCUCUCCCUAAUUGAUUUAUAUUUCGUAAACAAAUAUUGUUAGGUUUCCUAUUGUGGUAGCAAUCCUUUUUUUCUCUUUUUCUUUCUCGGUGUUGUGUGACAAGAGAGGCCUUUUAUCGAGCGCUCAUUAAUAUCCUUGGGCUGGGUGUUAACUUUCGGCCAUCAAUAUUUACGCAGUGUCUUAAGUUAUUUGGGAGCAACUAAUUAAGGGUGCCUUGGAUGAGCUUUUCAGAUGGUGUUCUCAUGCACAAAGAGGAGCACUCCCCAUCUGACACAUGUCAUGUGUGGAAAGCAUUCUCGGGCGAGAGUUUUUGCUCCAUAUUUUCUUGGUUUCCCUCUUUUUUUCUUCUUUCUUGAUUUUUCUAGGGGGUUUUGUUCAAUGUUUCAUUGGUUUUCCCAGUUUGUUUCGUUUGCCACCUUUUUUUCUUUUUACAUCAAUCCAGAGCACAAGCCAGAGUGACCUAUAGUAAAGCACUACUGUACUGGUAUAGUGCCAAAUGGCGGCAGCGCUACCACAAUCAUCGUGCUACUGGUCGGAUAUUUGUUGCAUCUCUGGUCAAAUCUGCAUAAUUUGGCUUUUAGUUUGGAAUUGCAUGUGAUGU
Molecule: long non-coding RNA, 2637 nt
Filed under: Triticum aestivum (bread wheat)
Lineage: Eukaryota; Viridiplantae; Streptophyta; Magnoliopsida; Poales; Poaceae
Description: long non-coding RNA (TAES_LNC010193)
Source: RNAcentral